GUUUCAGCUCCAGCCAGGAAAUGCAAUCUUUAGCCUUAGAUUGAAAGAGAAAGUGCACUCUCAAAGCCAGAGGGGAGCUGACAGAAGUCCCCGCCCUAGUCCCUGAUGCAAAUGAUGACUCCAAAUCCUUGGUCUGAUUGGUCCAAAAGACACUGUCCUGACAGGUCAAAAUGGAGCUACUCUGAUUGAUCAGUGAAGAAGUUGAUGAGGAAAUAGCUGUGUGGCUCUCAAUGGAUGGGAAAAGCUUCUAUCCUAUUGAUUGAAAUAGGAUUCCAGGCUGGCUGAGAUGGCAGAAUCACAGUGGAGGACUGACUGCCAGGACAGGAGAGGAUUUAUCACAACUAGAUACAAUCCAAACACCUGAGCAAUUUUGCCUUAUCUCCCUAGAAGGCUAAAAAGCUAGAGUCUUAUUUCUACACUAGUGGGAAAUUCACCAGAAGGAAGAAAGCAGUGUCUGGUAUCUGGCAACUGAGCUUCAGCACAGAGGAAGAUAUAAUUAUAGGCUGUCCUUUCUACAUAUACAUAGGACUUGACUUCUAAAAACCCAAUGUGUGUUAACCCAAGACAGAACAAUUCAGCUUCCCACUGACCAGCAAUUCAGCAAGGCUCCCAGCACCACCUCCAAAGGAAUAAACACAACUGUAGGCAAA
This is a long non-coding RNA of Eptesicus fuscus (big brown bat), 650 nucleotides long. RefSeq lists it as uncharacterized. The record is from RefSeq and is a predicted model, not a curated record. The transcript is spliced from 4 exons. Lineage: Eukaryota; Metazoa; Chordata; Mammalia; Chiroptera; Vespertilionidae.